RNAcentral lists this ribosomal RNA (492 nucleotides) under uncultured bacterium. RNAcentral's name for it is "partial 16S ribosomal RNA". It matches the Rfam family "Bacterial small subunit ribosomal RNA", at positions 29 to 507 of the family's 1533-position model. The record is from RNAcentral.
AGUGAACGCUGGCGGUAGGCCUAACACAUGCAAGUCGAACGGCAGCACAGUAAGAGCUUGCUCUUACGGGUGACGAGUGGCGGACGGGUGAGGAAUACAUCGGAAUCUACUUUUUCGUGGGGGAUAACGUAGGGAAACUUACGCUAAUACCGCAUACGACCUACGGGUUAAAGCAGGGGAUCUUCGGACCUUGCGCGAUUGAUUGAGCCGAUGUCGGAUUAGCUAGUUGGCGGGGUAAAGGCCCACCAAGGCGACGAUCCGUAGCUGGUCUGAGAGGAUGAUCAGCCACACUGGAAGUGAGACACGGUCCAGACUCCUACGGGGGGCAGCAGUGGGGAAUAUUAGACGAUGGACGAGAGCCUGAUCCAGCCAUACCGCGUGAGUGAAGAAGUCCUUAGGGUUGUAAAGCCAUUUUGUUGGGAAAGAAAAGCAGCAGGUUAAUCCCCCGCUGUUCUGACGGUACCAAAAGAAUAAGCACCGGCUAACUUCGUG